Molecule: ribosomal RNA, 719 nt
Filed under: uncultured Bacteroidales bacterium
Lineage: Bacteria; Pseudomonadati; Bacteroidota; Bacteroidia; Bacteroidales
Description: bacterial SSU rRNA
Rfam family: Bacterial small subunit ribosomal RNA
Source: RNAcentral
ACACAUGCAAGUCGAGGGGCAGCAUGGUCUUAGCUUGCUAAGGCCGAUGGCGACCGGCGCACGGGUGAGUAACACGUAUCCAACCUGCCGUCUACUCUUGGACAGCCUUCUGAAAGGAAGAUUAAUACAAGAUGGCAUCAUGAGUCCACAUGUUCACAUGAUUAAAGGUAUUCCGGUAGACGAUGGGGAUGCGUUCCAUUAGAUAGUAGGCGGGGUAACGGCCCACCUAGUCUUCGAUGGAUAGGGGUUCUGAGAGGAAGGUCCCCCACAUUGGAACUGAGACACGGUCCAAACUCCUACGGGAGGCAGCAGUGAGGAAUAUUGGUCAAUGGGCGAGAGCCUGAACCAGCCAAGUAGCGUGAAGGAUGACUGCCCUAUGGGUUGUAAACUUCUUUUAUAAAGGAAUAAAGUCGGGUAUGUAUACCCGUUUGCAUGUACUUUAUGAAUAAGGAUCGGCUAACUCCGUGCCAGCAGCCGCGGUAAUACGGAGGAUCCGAGCGUUAUCCGGAUUUAUUGGGUUUAAAGGGAGCGUAGAUGGAUGUUUAAGUCAGUUGUGAAAGUUUGCGGCUCAACCGUAAAAUUGCAGUUGAUACUGGAUAUCUUGAGUGCAGUUGAGGCAGGCGGAAUUCGUGGUGUAGCGGUGAAAUGCUUAGAUAUCACGAAGAACUCCGAUUGCGAAGGCAGCCUGCUAAGCUGCAACUGACAUUGAGGCUCGAAAG